GCCUACGGGAGGCAGCAGUGGGGAAUUUUGCGCAAUGGGCGAAAGCCUGACGCAGCAACGCCGCGUGAGUGAUGAAGGCUUUCGGGUCGUAAAGCUCUGUCGAGGGGAAAGAAGUGUAUUGUGGUUAAUACCCGCGAUACUUGACGGUACCCCUAAAGGAAGCACCGGCUAACUCCGUGCCAGCAGCCGCGGUC
This 194-nucleotide ribosomal RNA is filed under the name uncultured Geobacter sp. RNAcentral describes it as "partial 16S ribosomal RNA". It matches the Rfam family "Bacterial small subunit ribosomal RNA", at positions 337 to 522 of the family's 1533-position model. The record is from RNAcentral. Lineage: Bacteria; Pseudomonadati; Thermodesulfobacteriota; Desulfuromonadia; Geobacterales; Geobacteraceae.